This is a non-coding RNA of Microcebus murinus (gray mouse lemur), 544 nucleotides long. Lineage: Eukaryota; Metazoa; Chordata; Mammalia; Primates; Cheirogaleidae. The record is from RefSeq and is a predicted model, not a curated record.
UCCCAUGUCUCACUAGAAGACACAGAGCAGGAGGGGACGGUUGGGUGGUCGGUCAGGGUUUCACUGCAGCAGGUCUCCCUGAGUGGUGCUGGCCAACCUCCACCCUCCCCUGCUGCAUCAAGUGAACGUAUCUCUGAUGUGAUAAUAUCAAACAAAGGGAAAAUAAGAUCAGAGGGACAAAUCUAGUCUGCACACAACUGUCCUGGAACCUGGCUACUUUGUGACUCAGAGAGGCUCUGGUGUUAUUCUGUCACUGGGAGUGUGUUGCUGGCUCAGUGAACUGAAGUCACUGUGGAGUGGGGCCAGAGCUGCUCCGUGGGGGGCUCCGAGCUGGAGCCAAAGGAGCGUGGGCAUCCCAGAGGACAGCCUGCAACGGCUGGUGGUGGUGCUGACUGACGACAGGCGAUCUGGCCAUCAUUCCAUCGGGUGAGCCCUCCUAGGGGUCUGUGGGGACAUUGUCAGGGAGGAGCAGGGGGCUUCACAAGGAGGGAAGGCAGUGAGCAGAGCAGGGGACCCGGAGUAAGCAGGCUCUGUGGAGCCUGCA